This 376-nucleotide ribosomal RNA is filed under the name uncultured bacterium. RNAcentral's name for it is "bacterial SSU rRNA". It matches the Rfam family "Bacterial small subunit ribosomal RNA", at positions 524 to 898 of the family's 1533-position model. The record is from RNAcentral.
UACGUAGGUGGCGAGCGUUGUCCGGAUUUAUUGGGCGUAAAGCGAGCGCAGGCGGUUUCUUAAGUCUGAUGUGAAAGCCCCCGGCUCAACCGGGGAGGGUCAUUGGAAACUGGGAAACUUGAGUGCAGAAGAGGUGAGUGGAAUUCCAUGUGUAGCGGUGAAAUGCGUAGAUAUAUGGAGGAACACCAGUGGCGAAGGCGGCUCUCUGGUCUGUAACUGACGCUGAGGCUCGAAAGCGUGGGGAGCAAACAGGAUUAGAUACCCUGGUAGUCCACGCCGUAAACGAUGAGUGCUAAGUGUUGGAGGGUUUCCGCCCUUCAGUGCUGCAGCUAACGCAUUAAGCACUCCGCCUGGGGAGUACGACCGCAAGGUUGAA